This 69-nucleotide transfer RNA is filed under the name Cordylochernes scorpioides. Its description in RNAcentral is "tRNA-Gly". The record is from RNAcentral. Lineage: Eukaryota; Metazoa; Arthropoda; Arachnida; Pseudoscorpiones; Chernetidae.
UGCAUCGGCCGAAAAUCGAACCCGGGGCGCCCGCGUGGCAGGAGAGCAUUCUACCACUGAACCAAAAGC